GCCAGGUGUGGUGGUGUGAGCCUGUAGUCCCAGCUACUCGGGAGGCUGAGGCGGGAGGAUAGCUUGAGCCCAGGAGUUCUGGGAUGUAGUGUGCUACGCCAAUUGGGUGUCCACACUAAGUUCAGCAUCAAUAUGGUGACCUCUCAGGAGCGAGGGAUUACCAGGUUGCCUAGGAAGGGGUGAGCCAGCCCAGGUCAGCCAAAAUUCCUGUGCUGAUUAGCAGUGGGAUCUGUGCCUGUGAAAAGCUACUGCACUCUAGCCUGAGCAACAUAGUGAGAGACUCUGUCUCU
Rhinopithecus bieti (black snub-nosed monkey) is the source of this 290-nucleotide unclassified non-coding RNA. It matches the Rfam family "Metazoan signal recognition particle RNA". From Rfam's summary of the family: The signal recognition particle (SRP) is a universally conserved ribonucleoprotein. NCBI's taxonomy places the organism in Eukaryota, Metazoa, Chordata, Mammalia, Primates, Cercopithecidae. The record is from Ensembl.